Molecule: ribosomal RNA, 219 nt
Filed under: uncultured bacterium
Lineage: Bacteria
Description: partial 16S ribosomal RNA
Rfam family: Bacterial small subunit ribosomal RNA
Source: RNAcentral
UAGCUCAGUUCGGACUGUGGGCUGCAACCCGCCCACACGAAGUCGGAGUUGCUAGUAAUCCCGAAUCAGCAUGUCGGGGUGAAUGCGUUCCCGGGUCUUGUACACACCGCCCGUCAAGCCAUGGGAGUAACGGGAGUGCCCGAAGUCGGUGACCUAACCGCAAGGAAGGAGCCGCCUAAGGUAAUACCGAUGACUGGGGUUAAGUCGUAACAAGGUAGC